GAGGUACUCCCUCCGUCCCAAAAUUCCUGUCUUAAAUUUGUCUAGAUACAAAUGUAUUUCUGUCUUAGAUUUGUUUAGAUACGGAUGUAUCUGAUACAUUCGUAUCUAGAUAAAUCUAAGACAAGAAUUUUGGGACGGAAGGAGUAUAUA
Molecule: non-coding RNA, 150 nt
Organism: Triticum aestivum (bread wheat)
Lineage: Eukaryota; Viridiplantae; Streptophyta; Magnoliopsida; Poales; Poaceae
Source: Rfam